GACGAACGCUGGCGGCGUGCUUAACACAUGCAAGUCGAACGGAAAGGCCCCUUUGGGGGUACUCGAGUGGCGACCGGGUGCGUAACACGUGCGUAACCUGCCCUUGACUUCGGGAUAACUUCAAGAAACUGGGGCUAAUACCGGUUAGGAAUACUUGCUGCAUGGUGGGGGUUGGAAAGCUUCGGCGGUCUUGGCUGGACUCGCGGCUUAUCAGCUUGUUGGUGGGGUUGUGGCUUACCAAGGCGUCGACGGGUAGCCGGCCUGAGAGGGCGACCGGCCACAUUGGGACUGAGAGACGGCCCAGACUCCGACGGGAGGCAGAAGGGGGGAAUAUUGCACAAUGGGCGGAAGCCUGAUGCAGCAACGCCGCGUGCGGGAUGACGGCCUUCGGGUUGUAAACCGCUUUCAGCAGGGGCGAAGCUUGUGGUGACGGUACCUGCAGAAGAAGCACCGGCUAACUACGUG
Molecule: ribosomal RNA, 465 nt
Filed under: uncultured bacterium
Lineage: Bacteria
Description: partial 16S ribosomal RNA
Rfam family: Bacterial small subunit ribosomal RNA
Source: RNAcentral